GGUUUUUGGAAAACAUAACCAUUAGGUGGUCCCCAUCCAAAAACAGGAUGUGAACUCUUUUCGCCGUUAAGAGCAGGUUGAGAAUUUAUAGUAAGGAAAGCGUUUCUAUUCAUACUUAGAAGUUGAUCCCGAAUCAAGUCGGCUUCAUCGGAUAUGGGAAGAUCACUCCAAGGGAGGGAGCUAAUCUUUUUUUCACAGUACCUGGCAAACAAAUCGCCGAUUUCCGAGUAAGAUUUAGGAGACCCCCACGAUGUUGUGAUCUCCUUGGGAGACAUACGAAGACCAUAUCUAAUAGCAUCAAAUUCGCCAAAAGCAGGGCUACGAGAGUCACCCCAACGACCAUGCGGUAAUUCGUCCCACUGAUCAGUACGCGAGACAUAACUUUCAUUACGAGUGCGCCAGAAAAUGGGCCGUACACCUUCAUUUAUCCGACGAUCUUGACUGGAAGCAUUGGUUAACUCGACGUUAUUAGUAUCCACUAUAGGAGCCAAGUUUUCAUCUAAUAAACCUAAUCGUUCAAUAAUCAUUUUAACGGCCUUUUCUAAAUUCAUAGUGUAAAAAUGAAGUCUCGUAAUGCCACUAGCUAUAAGCUUACGGCACAUUUCGACUAUGAGCUCAACACCACGCUCACGGACUCCUUCAUCAUCGUCUUUAACUGGGACUAGAGUAUCCAUAAAAUGCUGGGGAAUUUUAACACCGCUCCAUUUCGCUCUCCGAAUAAAGGAAUCCCAUGCCUGAAUAGGCAUAA
Schizosaccharomyces pombe (fission yeast) is the source of this 748-nucleotide non-coding RNA. NCBI's taxonomy places the organism in Eukaryota, Fungi, Ascomycota, Schizosaccharomycetes, Schizosaccharomycetales, Schizosaccharomycetaceae. The record is from the annotation of a GenBank genome assembly.